CAGGAAUUAACAUAUUAAAUGUAUCUCACUUACAUUGAGAAAAUAAUUAAUUAUUUUAAUUAUUCUUGA
Molecule: transfer RNA, 69 nt
Filed under: Opisthoteuthis sp. JN-2021
Lineage: Eukaryota; Metazoa; Mollusca; Cephalopoda; Octopoda; Opisthoteuthidae
Description: tRNA-Val
Source: RNAcentral